UCAGGACGAACGCUGGCGGCGUGCCUAACACAUGCAAGUCGAGCGAGGAGAUCCUUCGGGAUGAUCCUAGCGGCGGACGGGUGAGUAACACGUGGGCAACCUGCCUCAUAGAGAGGAAUAGCCUUCCGAAAGGGAGAUUAAUACCUCAUAACAUUGCAGUUUCGCAUGGAACAGCAAUUAAAGGAGUAAUCCGCUAUGAGAUGGGCCCGCGGCGCAUUAGCUAGUUGGUGAGGUAACGGCUCACCAAGGCGACGAUGCGUGGCCGACCUGAGAGGGUGAUCGGCCACAUUGGGACUGAGACACGGCCCAGACUCCUACGGGAGGCAGCAGUGGGGAAUAUUGCACAAUGGGGGAAACCCUGAUGCAAGCAACGCCGCGUGAGUGAUGACGGCCUUCGGGUUGUAAAGCUCUGUCUUCAGGGACGAUAAUGACGGUACCUGAGGAGGAAGCCACGGCUAACUACGUGCCAGCCGCAGC
Molecule: ribosomal RNA, 477 nt
Filed under: uncultured bacterium
Lineage: Bacteria
Description: bacterial SSU rRNA
Rfam family: Bacterial small subunit ribosomal RNA
Source: RNAcentral